RNAcentral lists this ribosomal RNA (567 nucleotides) under Triticum aestivum (bread wheat). Its description in RNAcentral is "partial small subunit ribosomal RNA". The record is from RNAcentral. Lineage: Eukaryota; Viridiplantae; Streptophyta; Magnoliopsida; Poales; Poaceae.
AUGUUUAAUCAUUUUGAUAUGACCUCUAAUCUUGGUGAUGAUUCUGUGUUGAAUGACUUAUUGCAUGUUUGCUUAUUUAAGCAUGUUGUAGCAUGUAAAUUUGAUGCAAGUAAGGUUUAUUCACCAAUGUUGGGAUGGUUUAAUGAUGAACAUUGUCAAUCUUUUGAAAUGAAUAAGAGCUUCACUUAUAUGUGCAAACUGAGUUGCAAUAUUUUCAUGCCUUCUACUUCUUGUGCUAAUUUUUUGGCUUUAGAUUUUAUGAACUAUGCAAGUUACUCAUCUAUUCAUGUGUCAUAUAUGCAAAAAUCAAGGGAAGUAAAAAUGGAUGACAUAUACAUAUACAACAUGUACACCUUGUCUCUUUUGUUAGCCACAUUUCAGAUUAAGCAACGCCGAGGACGGCUUUAUUUUCAAGAAGGGGAGGAUGAUGAGGAUAUGACUACCUUGGAUAUGACCAAAAAUAUUGCAUAUAUGCAUAUUUGUCAGGUAAUUUCUAGUGCAAACUAUUCAAUAAUCUAUUUAUGUUAUCCAGAACAAAAAUACUUCACACACUUGUGUUUUGUCUAA